GGUCGGAUGAUGGAGUUGGUCACCAUACCUGUCUAACACACAGGAGGUCGCAAGUUCGAGCCUUGCUUCGAUCA
Molecule: non-coding RNA, 74 nt
Organism: Kwoniella sp. CBS 9459
Lineage: Eukaryota; Fungi; Basidiomycota; Tremellomycetes; Tremellales; Cryptococcaceae
Source: the annotation of a GenBank genome assembly